RNAcentral lists this ribosomal RNA (493 nucleotides) under uncultured bacterium. RNAcentral's name for it is "partial 16S ribosomal RNA". It matches the Rfam family "Bacterial small subunit ribosomal RNA", at positions 28 to 507 of the family's 1533-position model. The record is from RNAcentral.
GACGAACGCUGGCGGCGUGCUUAACACAUGCAAGUCGAACGGAAAGGCCUGCUUUCCCUUGUGGAUUGCGGGUGCUCGAGUGGCGAACGGGUGAGUAACACGUGAGUGAUCUGCCCCCAACUUGGGUAUAAGCCUGGGAAACUGGGUCUAAUUCCCGAUAGGACUGCAGGGUGGUGCCUGUGGUGGAAAACGAUUUUCUAGUGGUUGGGGAUGAGCUCGCGGCCUAUCAGCUUGUUGGUGGGGUAAUGGCCUACCAAGGCGGCGACGGUAGCCGGCCUGAGAGGGUGGACGGCCACAUUGGGACUGAGAUACGGCCCAGACUCCUACGGGAGGCAGCAGUGGGGAAUAUUGCACAAUGGGCGGAAGCCUGAAGCAGCGACGCCGCGUGGGGGAUGACGGCCUUCGGGUUGUAAACUCCUUUCGACCGCGAGGAAGCCACCUGGUUGGAAGGGUGGUGACGGUAGUGGUAGAAGAAGCACCGGCUAACUACGUG